UCUCUGGUAGUCCAGUGGUUAAGACCCUGUGCUCCCAAUGCAGGGGGCCCAGGUUCAAUCCCUGCUCAGGGAA
Budorcas taxicolor (takin) is the source of this 73-nucleotide non-coding RNA. The record is from the annotation of a RefSeq genome assembly. Lineage: Eukaryota; Metazoa; Chordata; Mammalia; Artiodactyla; Bovidae.